GGACGCAUAGCUCAGUUGGUUAGAGCGUUCCGUUCACAUCGGAAAGGCCGCAGGUCCGAGUCCUGCUGCGUCCACCA
Molecule: transfer RNA, 77 nt
Filed under: bacterium
Lineage: Bacteria
Description: tRNA-Val
Rfam family: tRNA
About the family: Transfer RNA (tRNA) molecules are approximately 80 nucleotides in length. Their secondary structure includes four short double-helical elements and three loops (D, anti-codon, and T loops). Further hydrogen bonds mediate the characteristic L-shaped molecular structure. tRNAs have two regions of fundamental functional importance: the anti-codon, which is responsible for specific mRNA codon recognition, and the 3' end, to which the tRNAs corresponding amino acid is attached (by aminoacyl-tRNA synthetases). tRNAs cope with the degeneracy of the genetic code in two manners: having more than one tRNA (with a specific anti-codon) for a particular amino acid; and 'wobble' base-pairing, i.e. permitting non-standard base-pairing at the 3rd anti-codon position.
Source: RNAcentral